UCUCGAUCACAAAAUCACACUUUUUUAGGUCACAUAUUAUUUAUUGCUCAUAGUUUAUUUGUUUUAUUGGUCACAACUAUACAACAGUUGGUCACAAGAACUUUUUAUCCGACCCAUUCCACCCUAGCACCCCCAGUUGCACCACCAAAAAAACCGAUUCAAUAAUUGGUCGCAUUCAUUCAAACUGUUCCCAAAUCUCAAUUGCCAAAAUUCUCAGCAUCACCUUUCUUGUCCACAAUCAUUCAAAUUAUUCCCAGUUUAAAGAAAUACUUGAUCAAAUGUGCAUAUUAUCCAAACAUAAUUUUUCCAUUAUUCUAGUGGUUGGUGUGGAAUGCCCCACUUCAUCCAUCAUAUCUGUUUCACUGAGUAACAAAAUUUUCCAUUAGUCUAUUCCAAUUCACUAAACUAUCUCCAAACACAAUGCUUUGAUGUAAUCGUCCUAUAUCACCUGUGGUCCACAACCAAACACCUGAACGGCACAUUUGAGAGAUUAUUCUAGGGUUUUCUUUUUUAUGUGUCUUCUCUCUAAAAACUGUUCCUCUU
Molecule: long non-coding RNA, 543 nt
Filed under: Olea europaea subsp. europaea
Lineage: Eukaryota; Viridiplantae; Streptophyta; Magnoliopsida; Lamiales; Oleaceae
Source: RNAcentral